This 468-nucleotide ribosomal RNA is filed under the name uncultured bacterium. RNAcentral's name for it is "partial 16S ribosomal RNA". It matches the Rfam family "Bacterial small subunit ribosomal RNA", at positions 28 to 507 of the family's 1533-position model. The record is from RNAcentral.
GACGAACGCUGGCGGCGUGCUUAACACAUGCAAGUCGAACGGACAGGCCCUGCUUUUGUGGGGUGCUCGUGUGGCGAACGGGUGAGUAACACGUGAGUAAACUGCCCUUGACUGUGGGAUAUCUUCAGGAAACUGGGGCUAAUACCGGAUAGGAGCUCCUGAUGCAUGGUGGGGGUUGGUAAGUUUCGGCGGUUGGGGCUGGACUCGCGGCUUAUCAGCUUGUUGGUGGGGUAGUGGCUUACCAAGGCUUUGACGGGUAGCCGGCCUGAGAGGGUGACCGGCCACAUUGGUACUGAGAGACGGCCCAGACUCCUACGGGAGGCAGCAGGGGGGAAUAUUGCAGAAUGGGCGGAAGCCUGAUGCAGCAACGCCGCGUGCGGGAUGAUGGCCUUCGAGUUGUAAACCGCUUUCGCCUGUGACGAAGCGUGAUUGACGGUAAUGGGUAAAGAAGCACCGGCUAACUACGUG